This 260-nucleotide long non-coding RNA is filed under the name Linum usitatissimum (flax). RNAcentral's name for it is "long non-coding RNA (LUSI_LNC000640)". The record is from RNAcentral. Lineage: Eukaryota; Viridiplantae; Streptophyta; Magnoliopsida; Malpighiales; Linaceae.
ACCCAUGUCAAGAGGAUUUGUUGCUUCAGUGAAUGGGGAAGGUUUGGAGGACUUGGGUGCUCAGAAGAACAAUGGAGUGAGCUAUCAGCUGGAUGGGGAGAGCACUGUGGUACCUUGGUGGCAGAAGAAGAACGCCAGAAAAACUGAGCCUGAUAAUGAGGAAGCGAAACCAGUUCCUGCCAUCACACAGCCCCUUGAGCAACCAAUUCAGCGGAGUUGGGUGCCUCCCCAACCACCACCUAUUGCAAUGCCCGAAGCAG